CCGAAGUCGGUGAGGUAACCUAAACCACCCCAAAAAGUAUUACUUUUCGGGGACCCCGGUUGGGAGCCAGCCGCCGAAGGUGGGGUAGAUGACUGGGGUGAAGUCGUAACAAGGUAUCCGUACCGGAAGGUGCGGAUGGAUCACCUCCUUUCUAUGGAGA
Molecule: ribosomal RNA, 160 nt
Filed under: Brevibacillus panacihumi
Lineage: Bacteria; Bacillati; Bacillota; Bacilli; Caryophanales; Paenibacillaceae
Description: partial 16S ribosomal RNA
Rfam family: Bacterial small subunit ribosomal RNA
Source: RNAcentral